GUUAAAGGGACACGGCCACCGGCAGCGGUAAUGGAGCGCGCCGGGAAAGCACCGGGAAAGCACCGGGAGAGGCACCGGGAGAGGCGAGGGCACGGCAGGAUGGAGAUCCUGGUGCGGAUCCUGCUGCAGACCCCACUCACCCUGGCAGCCACCUCAGGCUUUGCUGACAGCCCCUGGGGCACAGCGGUGACACCGGACGCUGCCCCAGCACCCCCAGGGACAGCAGGCACACCCAGGCCAAGCAGCUGUGCCCACAUCUGGGGGGGAAUCACCUGCCCAAGCCACGUCUGGCACUGCUGGGGUUGUCCCACUGCUGUCCCCCAUGUCCCAGCACCCCCAGCUCAGCACCCAGCUUGGGCCCAGCUUCACCAGCAGCCACAUUUAACCCCAUCCUCUGUGCCUUCCCCUGGCACGGCCCCAUGUGAGCAGCAGCUCCGGCCCUGGGGAGGCUGAGGGAGCUGCCUGCAUCCGGCCCUGCCUCCUGCUUCCAUUAUUGAUAAGGCAGGUUGGGUUUCACACGGGCAGCUGGCAGGGGGCUUGGGGGAGGAGGCUGUGCACACACUCACACUCACACUCACACUCACACUCACACCCUCAGCACACCCUGCCCACUGGGGGACAAAUGCUGGAGGGACAGUGGCUGCAGGGCUGUGUGGCCUCAUCCAGGUGCCACGUGUGUCCUGAGGAACUGCAGGUCUUUCCCCCACAGUCCCUUGUCCCCCAGCAGUGUCCUGCCCCCAAGGAGGUGUUCCAGGGGAGCUGACCAGCAGCAGCCUGGGAGCAAAGGCUGUGGUGUGGCCCUUGGGGACACACUCUGCACCCAGAGCAGGCCAAGUGCCACUGGGAGACAGCGGGACCCGCGUGGUCCCUGAUGUCCCCUGGUCCUGGCAUAGGCUUGUUGUCACUAAUCCCUGCCACCUCCGGGACUCAGAGGGGACAAGCUGCUGUGGCCCCAUGUCCUGGAGACAUUUUCAUGCCAAGAAAGCUGAAAACUCCAAGAGGACUCAUCACUGGCGAAGAGGAGACUCCACGUGUGUCUGUGUCCCUGAGGAAGGGGACACAACAGGGGUGCCACCAGUCCAGGGGGUGGUGCUGAUGUGGGGUGCUGCUCACCCCACCUCACCCCACAGCCAGAGGUCACCACCACGACCCUCCUGACCCCCUUGCCCCACACGGCUGUCCCUCCUGAGCGCCGGGAGGGCGGUGACCAAUGUCCCCACUCUGAGGCGGGCCAGCAGCCGGGAGCCAAGUGCCACUGCUCCCUCUGCUCCUGUGCCACCGCAGGCGCCGGGAGGCCGUGCCGAGCGCUCCCGGUGCGGCGGGAGCAUCGCGGGGCCGCGCUGGACCGCAGUGCGCCGGGGCCGUCGCCGCAGCAACCGCCGUCGCCUAGCGCCGCUGUCUCCCGGUAACCGGUCGCCUAGCAAUGGGGGAUUUUUCACAGCUCGGGAUGAAGAGUUGAAAGUUAUUUUUAGCCCGGGCUGCGAAUCAAUAAGCGGCUCCAUUCGCUGCCCCGCAGGAUGCACGGACGGGCCCGGCGGUGGGGGGAGCAGGGGGGUCUGUCCAGCCCUGGGCUCGGCCCCUCGGUGCUGACCCCGCCGGGCUCAGAGCUCUUCCCUGCCGAGGAGCUGAUUCCCCUUCGGGUUCCCCCCAUCCGGGCUUCUGUGGGGGUCCUCACGGGGAG
Taeniopygia guttata (zebra finch) is the source of this 1681-nucleotide non-coding RNA. The record is from RefSeq and is a predicted model, not a curated record. NCBI's taxonomy places the organism in Eukaryota, Metazoa, Chordata, Aves, Passeriformes, Estrildidae.